RNAcentral lists this long non-coding RNA (928 nucleotides) under Gallus gallus (chicken). RNAcentral's name for it is "long non-coding RNA NONGGAT003157". Lineage: Eukaryota; Metazoa; Chordata; Aves; Galliformes; Phasianidae. The record is from RNAcentral.
GCGGCCGCGUGGAGCCGCUCGGAGGCGGCGGGCCCGCAUCGCUGAGCGAGGCGAAGUGAAAAAAGCCGCUUCUCGAGGGAGCCAGAGAUGGGAACUGCAGCCCAAACGACAGCAUUAUGAAGGUACUUUGGUCUUACCGGCUUGGAGAAAGAUGGGGAUGCUGCUGAAUGCAUGUACUGCAAAGAGGGGGCUCCGGCAUCCUGCGGGAAUCCCUCCAGGCAGACAAAGCCUUCCACAGCCUCCAGUAGCACCCAGACAGCACAACCCCAGCAUGUGUGCACAGGGGAUGACACCACAACAUGGGUGCCAAGACCACCCCUUUUCCUUGCUUAGGUCAGGAUGACAAAAAAGCAAGGCGGCAGUACUCAGUUUCCAGCCUGAAAUACGCUGACCUGCUCAAAUGAAUACAUGCCUUCAUAAAAAACGCUCAGUCCUUGGGCAGGCAUGAAGUGAAGCUCUGACAUUCAGAGAGUUUUGUGUUGACAGCAUUGAAGAUUUGUGAUGAAACUUAUCAUCGGCGCCGAGUGCGGGCCAUUAGUACCAGUCACAGCAGCUAGCUGCUGCUGAUAUAUUUUAUGGCACGCUUCAAAGACAAACAUACACAUUUAUAUGUCACUUGUUGCAAUAUAAAUGCUAACUUGUACUUCUUUCAAAACUUUUAAUGAAUUGUAUACAUUUCGUGAGAUUUAUGGCGUGAACCGAACUGCUCAAAACAUUACUUUAAACAUAUUUGUCACUUUGGCAACAGAACAAAAAAAAUCUGGGAGAUAUUGCAUUUAGAAAUAAAUCAUAAAUAUAUGCAUCCUAAAGGAGUUUAUUUUGGUCAUUAAUAGUUGAUGCCCCCCCCCCCAGCUCAGGAUUUAAAGUUAAAUUAUGCAAAAUCAAAAACAAACCUUAUAAUACUUAAUCAAACAUGCAUAAAACUGUC